Gallus gallus (chicken) is the source of this 487-nucleotide long non-coding RNA. Lineage: Eukaryota; Metazoa; Chordata; Aves; Galliformes; Phasianidae. The record is from Ensembl.
UUUUUCUUGCGUGAAGGUUGCUUUCUCAGGAAGGAGUGUUCUGUAGCCAGAGAGCCUAUCACAAGUUAGGGCUUUGAAAAUAGAAAGUGUUGAGAAGACUGUGGCGGGAAUAGAGACCUCAGGGUGACCCAGGAGGUUAAACUUAGCAGCUGCAUUGAGCUCUUUGGGGAAGUGGAGAAUGGACCUGGACUGUUGGAAGAACGGAACAGUGGGCUACACUCUUAACAAAUGUGAUUCAUGCAUAUGCUGUCCUCUUUUUGAAUAGAUCCCAUGAGGUACAAGUUUCCUACAAGUCUUUCACAGAAAGUAAGAUCAUUCUCUAUAAAGCAAUCUUAUGUUUUUGUGCAAAUCUUCCAUGCAUGCUGACUGCUGCUGUAGACAUGCUGGUCGUUACUUACUGCAGUGGCACUGCAGACUCUAAGUGUUUAUUCCUAUUUUUAGUGCUGUCAAGUUCACAGAAAUUGUGAAAAUAAAAACCAGUUGUGCU